GGGCCCGUGGGUUAGUUUGGCCUAUACUUGAUGGUUUGGGACCAUUAGACCCCAGUUCAAAUCUGGGCGGGCCCACCA
This 78-nucleotide transfer RNA is filed under the name Methanobacteriota archaeon. RNAcentral describes it as "Euryarchaeota archaeon tRNA-Pro". It matches the Rfam family "tRNA". Rfam says of the family: Transfer RNA (tRNA) molecules are approximately 80 nucleotides in length. Their secondary structure includes four short double-helical elements and three loops (D, anti-codon, and T loops). RNAcentral also lists the same sequence under 1 other name. The record is from RNAcentral. Lineage: Archaea; Methanobacteriati; Methanobacteriota.